Hevea brasiliensis (rubber tree) is the source of this 1952-nucleotide long non-coding RNA. RefSeq lists it as uncharacterized. The transcript is spliced from 3 exons. The record is from RefSeq and is a predicted model, not a curated record. NCBI's taxonomy places the organism in Eukaryota, Viridiplantae, Streptophyta, Magnoliopsida, Malpighiales, Euphorbiaceae.
GGCUAUCCCGGCUCACCUGACAAUUUUAUUACAAUCAUUUAAUAAAUUUGACUCAAUACAAACUAAGAGAAAGACUAAAGACGUCCUAAGUUGUGCCGAAAAUCUGGCAGAGUCUCCCCUAUACCUAGGACCUACCCAACCUGCAAAAGGGCUCAAAACACACUUCUAUAUUCACAACCCAUAUAUCCACAACUCAAUCACAUCACACAGCCCAUUUGUUUCUCCGAUGAAGGGAGUCAUAAGAUUUGGAAAGAAGGGCAAGUUGACACCUCGGUAUAUUGGACCUUUUGAGGUUACUGGUAGAGUUGGAGCAGUUGCCUACCAGUUGGAGCUACUACCUAACCUUUCUCAUGUUCAUCCUGUGUUUCACAUCUACAUGCUCAGGAAAUACAUUCUUGAUUCUUCUCAUGUGCUACAACCGGAUUUAAGGGAGCUAAAAGAAAACUUGACGUUUGAGGAGCAACCUAUAGUCAUAGUGGACUACCAAGUGAGUCAGCUAAAAUCAAAAUAGAUCCCUAUGGUAAAGGUUUUGUGGAGGAGCCAGUCAGUGGAAGAGUGCACCUGGGAGUCAGAACGGGACAUGCGUAGCAAGUACCCUUAUCUAUUCAAUGUGUAAUCCUGUACUUUAUUCUGCCUUGUGUAACAUUCGAGGACAAAUUUUCUGUAAGGGGGUAAGAAUGUAACAACUCUAAUUUUUUUAAAUUUAUUAUUUUUGGGUAAUUAUUGAUAUUUUAUUUUAUUGAAUUUUAGGAAAUUAUUUGAAAUUUUUCGGAUUUUAGAAAUCGGGUUCGAUUUUCUGAAAAUAAAAACUUUGAUGAUUUUUAAAAUUUAAUUUAAAUACUACGUGGCAAAACUAAAAAUAUAUUUAGAGUCUAUGAAUUUUUCUGAGUUUUCUAGAAUUUUUUUUAGAAUUUUUGAGCCUCGUUUUCGGUCUUAAGGCAGAGUAAAAAUUUAAAAUUUUGUAUUUUGAAUCCGACCGGCCGAAUCGAACCGGACUGGAUCUGAUCAGUCGAACCGGACUGGCUUCUUUUUUCUUUUUUUUUUGUUCUCCCCGCGCGUGUUCCGACCUCUCCUUCUCUCUCUCCCGUUUUCUCUCUCCUCCCUCCUCCCCUCUUCGGCUAGCCGCCACCCAGUCCUCCCCACCUCACCAGCGCGCCACCUCAGCCUCCCCCCAUUGCCUGCCGCCUCCUGGAACACCGGGAAACCGCGCGUGAAGCGCGCGACGCGUAGCGCGCCGCUUUGUCUUCCGGCUGAAAUCCGGCCUAUCCAGCCACCGAUUGGGCCAGGUCUUAUGUCAAACACCAUCUACACAUCGAGAGCUUUCCAUAGAUACCAAGAACACCAAAAUCCAUCGAGCGGUUUGUCCAAUUUUUGUCCGGAAAGUUUUAGCCCAUUUUGACUUUUGGGCUAGAUUUAUCGCAAACCGUGAACUCCACUAGAAAACCGAGAGUACCAGAGCGCUCCACUCGUCGAGAGCUUCGCGACAAUAUAAAUUUAGAAAUUUUCCGACACCUUUUUUCGGUGGGUCCCACAGAACUUCGUAGUAUUUUUUCGAGUAUUAAAUGAGUUUAGAAAAUUUCGUAAAAAUUUUAUACUAACCCCCGUAUUGUGGGCUUCGUGUCGGUACCUUCAAUUCGUAGAAAUUCGACAGUUGUCCGGGUCUGUGAAUUUCCGGCCAGACAGACCAGCUACUGAAAAAGUCUUGGAAUUGGAUCAGGAUUUUGGUUACCCCACUGUUGUCAGAUGCCCCAAGCGCGUUCCUGAGAUCGGAAUCGGCAUAGGUGAGCUGGGACAGCCUUCUUCCUCCACCCAGUCGCCACAAUGACUGCUGUCAAGUCUGCCACAGGAGGAUAUUUUUGAGGUUAACUUGCUUUUCUCCCACGCAGGUCGUUUAUUAAUGUUUGUGUAAACCUGUUAACUCUAGAAUUUUCGCAUGUGUUAGAAAUAAUUAU